RNAcentral lists this ribosomal RNA (577 nucleotides) under uncultured bacterium. RNAcentral describes it as "bacterial SSU rRNA". It matches the Rfam family "Bacterial small subunit ribosomal RNA", at positions 102 to 694 of the family's 1533-position model. The record is from RNAcentral.
ACGGGUGAGGAACACGUGAGGAACCUGGCUCUGGGUGGGGGAUAACUGUCAGAAAUGAGAGCUAAUCCCGCAUACGACUCGUUUCGGAGGGGAGACGAGGGAAAGCAGCAAUGCGCCGAGAGAGGGGCUUGCGGCCGAUUAGCUAGUUGGUGUGGUAAGAGCGCACCAAGGCGACGAUCGGUAGCUGGUCUGAGAGGACGAGCAGCCACACUGGGAUUGAGAACGGCCCAGACUCCUACGGGGGGCAGCAGUGAGGAAUCUUCGGCAAUGGGGGCAACCCUGACCGAGCGACGCCGCGUGCGGGAAGACGGCCUUCGGGUUGUAAACCGCUUUUCUGGGGGACGAGAGAACGGACGGUACCCCAGGAAGAAGCCUCGGCUAACUACGUGCCAGCAGCCGCGGUAAUACGUAGGAGGCGAGCGUUGUCCGGAGUUACUGGGCGUAAAGGGUGCGCAGGCGGCGUUCCGCGUGGCGAGAUGAAAUCUCCUGGCUUACCUGGGAGGGUGGUCGCCAGACGGGAGCGCUUGAGGGUCGGAGAGGGGCGUGGAAUUCCGGGUGGAGCGGUGAAAUGCGUAGA